UAUUAUGAUACAUGAUGUAAUUUUUUGGACUGCUUCUCCAGUAGCAUGAUGAAGGAUCAUGACCUUUCGGGCUGUCAGUCUGGUCCAGGUGGGUCGUCUGGAGAGUGGAGGCAGGCUGAACAUGUCUGCUCGGCUCAGAGUCAUCGUCUGGCAGCAAACCUACAGGGUCAAACAACUUUACUUCCUCUUGGAUGUCUCAGCUGCCUUUGAUUGAUCCCUUGUGGCACCAUGAAGGCCACUAGGAUGGGAACAUGUGAUCGUCUGAACAUCUGCGCUGAAGUCAGUUCCCUAUCAAAGCUCUGGAUGAAGAGACAGUGCCUCUUGUGAUGAUGAGGAAACAUCAAAGCCCAUCCUUGCAGCUUGACACCGCUCAUUACAGCUGCCAUGCUUUAUGAGGACUCCUCUUCAAAGCUGGAGCCAGGUAAACAAAGCUGUCAAUUACCAAAAGAGCAGCAGUAUUGAGUGAAGACACCAACUGGGGACGAGUUCAGUGGAGUUUUGACAUAAAAUACCGUUUUGGAACUCAAGACAAUGGUUGCAUCAUCUUUUUUUACCCACAAUUAACUAUUAACCUGUAACAAUGUACUUUAUUAUUUAUUUAUUUUCAGUUUGUGUUCUUUGUUUCAUUUACAGUGUCACAACA
Synchiropus splendidus (mandarinfish) is the source of this 643-nucleotide long non-coding RNA. RefSeq lists it as uncharacterized. Lineage: Eukaryota; Metazoa; Chordata; Actinopteri; Syngnathiformes; Callionymidae. The record is from RefSeq and is a predicted model, not a curated record. The transcript is spliced from 3 exons.